UGGGGAAUUUUGGACAAUGGGCGAAAGCCUGAUCCAGCAAUGCCGCGUGUGUGAAGAAGGCCUUCGGGUUGUAAAGCACUUUUGUCCGGAAAGAAAUGGCUCUGGUUAAUACCUGGGGUCGAUGACGGUACCGGAAGAAUAAGGACCGGCUAACUACGUGCCAGCAGCCGCGGUAAUACGUAGGGUCCAAGCGUUAAUCGGAAUUACUGGGCGUAAAGCGUGCGCAGGCGGUUGUGCAAGACCGAUGUGAAAUCCCCGAGCUUAACUUGGGAAUUGCAUUGGUGACUGCACGGCUAGAGUGUGUCAGAGGGGGGUAGAAUUCCACGUAUAGCAGUGAAAUGCGUAGAGAUGUGGAGGAAUACCGAUGGCGAAGGCAGCCCCCUGGGAUAACACUGACGCUCAUGCACGAAAGCGUGGGGAGCAAACAGG
RNAcentral lists this ribosomal RNA (429 nucleotides) under Actinomycetes bacterium. Its description in RNAcentral is "Actinobacteria bacterium partial 16S ribosomal RNA". It matches the Rfam family "Bacterial small subunit ribosomal RNA", at positions 355 to 776 of the family's 1533-position model. Lineage: Bacteria; Bacillati; Actinomycetota; Actinomycetes. The record is from RNAcentral.